Molecule: non-coding RNA, 2491 nt
Organism: Oncorhynchus mykiss (rainbow trout)
Lineage: Eukaryota; Metazoa; Chordata; Actinopteri; Salmoniformes; Salmonidae
Source: RefSeq, a predicted model, not a curated record
CUCUCUCUCUCUGAUUAAGGAAGAGUUGAGUUCAGAAGAAUUACAAAUGUUGCUCUUGAGUCCACCUUUAUGCAGAAGCUGGAUGAAUAUACACCAAAACUAUUGGACUUGUUUAAGUCAAAAGGAGGAGCUGUAACGGCGAACAUGCAGAAAAUCCUUGAAGUUCUGUGCAGGUGCAACACCAUCCAGGAAAGAAGAGACAGUGUGAUCCGUGGCUUGAUCAUAAACCUCGGCGAGAGGGUUGAAGACCUGAUCACAGAAUACAAGGAUGCUGACGACACCAUGAUCCGAGAGGACCUCGUUCAGCAUGUGAUGAAGGUGUUCACUGUGAAGGAUCUGCCCCAGAAUAUAGAGCAUGGGAUCUGCACCAGAAUAUAGAGAAUGGAAUCUGCAUUGAAGGAGCAGAGGUCCUGGCUGGUAUUCCCAGUGUUACAGUCAUGUACGUUGCUUAUGGGCCUCAUCUAUGCCUUAAAUCUAAGGUACUAAAUCUAAGAACUAAAAUAUACCUUUGAGGUGGUCCAAAAAGUACUCUUGGAACUUGAUGAUCUCAGGACCUCCCCACGGGUCCAAGAUAUCUAUGAGAACUCUCAAAGGGCCACUCACAAACUGUGGUCUAAACCCUACUCAGUAAGCUGAAAAGCUAGUUGCUAGGUGGUAUAGGAGCUACAGUUUACAUUAUGCUCUUUGUUAGGUGAAGUCCUAAGAGACAUUGUCAAUUCCUGUUUAAAAAAACAGCUUUGUUUUAAAACUUACUCCACAUGCACUAGUGGAUAUCUGAGAUGAAUUGUCAGGUGCAAGCUAUCUGGAUGCAACUUUACCUAAGGAAGCAAGGUGGAGUUAUACCCAGAAUGCUUAUACCUGUUAGCACUGUUGUUUCUUUUUGCAUAUUCCCUUGUAUAGAAAUAAUAUUGUUUUGUAAAUUAUCCCAUGUAUAUGGAGGUAACUAUUUACAUCAGCUUUUUAAGUAUAGUUGUGAGUAUAUAUUUGACUAGUAGGAACCCAAUUUAAAUACAUUUUACUAACCUGAGUACCAUAAGUAACUGAGCAAAAAACAUUUGUUGAUAAAACAUAGAAUAUAAUUUAUGAUACUGAGUAAAUUCAGCAAAUUAAACGUACAAUAUUUAUUCUGUAACGGAUUACAUGAAGUAUAUCAAACUUAUAACAUUAGUUCUGGGACUUGAAGGAUCUAAGCAGGACAACAAAAAACAACAACUUCUGAACCUGAUAAAAUGAAGUUGAAUGAAAGGAACCUUUGAGGUCCAGUUAGUUGAUUGCACUUCAUAUAUUAGAGUUUGUAAUAUCCUCCUUGUUGGAUAUACUUAAAAAGCUGAUGCAAAUAGUUACCUACAUUUUUAAAGUAAAAGGGACUCAAUAUUUUUUACAGUGUAGUAGGAAUAAAACUAGAUGAGGAACAGCCAAACUCAGCUAACACAGUGAGGUUUCUGAAGACAGUUUACUGUCAAAAGUCAUACACCACGGCAAGACUUAGCACAGAAACAAGACACAAGGUAGUUAUACUGCAUCAGCAAGGUCUCUCCCAGGCAGAAACUUCAAGGCAGACAGGGGUUUCCAGAUGUCCAAGCUCUUUUGAAGAAGCACAAAGAAACGGGCAACGUUGAGGACCGUAGACGCGCUGGUCGGCCAAGGAAACUUACUGCAGCAGAUGAAAGUUGCAUAAAGCUUACUUCCCUUUGCAAUCGGAAGAUGUCCAGCAGUGCCAGAAUUGACAGAAAACAUUGGGCCCCUUGUACACCCAUCUACUGUCCGGAGAAGUCUGGUCAGAAGUGGCCUUCAUGGAAGACUUGAGGCCAAAAAAACAUACCUCCAAUGUGGAAACAAGGCUAAGCGGCUCAACUAUGCACGAAAACAUAGAAACUGGGGUGCAGAAAAAUGUCAGCAGGUGAUCUGGACUGAUGAGUCAAAAUUUGAAAUAUUUGGCUGUAGCAGAAGGCAGUUUGUUCGCCGAAGGCCUGGAGUGCGGUACACAAUAGAGUGUCUGCAGGCAACAGUGAAGCAUGGUGAAGGUUCCUUGCAAGUUUGGGGCUGCAUUUCUCUAAAUGGAGUUGGGGAUUUGGUCGGAAUUAAUGGUCUCCUCAAUGUACAGGCAGAUACUUAUCCAUCAUGCAAUACCAUCAGGGAGGCAUUUGAUUAGCCCAAAAUGUAUUCUGCAGCAUGACAACAACCCCUGGAAGUGAAGGUAUGGCCCCCACAGAGCCCUGAUCUCAACAUCAUCAAGUCUGCCUGGGAUUACAAGGAGAGAAGCACCUGAGGCUGCCUAAAGCCACAGAAGAGCUGUGGUUAGUUCUCCAAGAUGUUUAGGCCAACCUACCUGCCGAGUUCCUUCAAAAGCUGUGUGCAAGUAUACCUAGAAUAAUUGAUGCUGUUUUGAAGGCAAAGGGUGGUCACACCAAAUAUUGAUUUGAUGUAGAUUUUACUUCUGUUCACUCACUUUGCAUUUUGUAAUUUGAUAAAUAUAAUCUAUUAACAUGUC